Molecule: ribosomal RNA, 253 nt
Filed under: uncultured bacterium
Lineage: Bacteria
Description: partial 16S ribosomal RNA
Rfam family: Bacterial small subunit ribosomal RNA
Source: RNAcentral
GACAGAGGGUGCAAACGUUGUUCGGAAUUACUGGGCGUAAAGCGCGUGUAGGCUGUCUCGCAAGUCGGGUGUGAAAGCCCUGGGCUCAACCUAGGAAGUGCACUCGAAACUGCGAGACUUGAGUCCUGGAGAGGAAGGCGGAAUUCUCGGUGUAGAGGUGAAAUUCGUAGAUAUCCGCAAGAACACCAGUGGCGAAGGCGGCUCACUGGCCCGGUACUGACGCUGAGGCGCGAAAGCGUGGGGAGCAAACAGG